UUCUGGGACCAGAGCGAGCCCCGGCUGUUUGUAUGCGAAGCCGUGCAGGAGACGCCGCGCUCCCAGCCUCAGUCUGCAAACGGGCAGCCCCAAGAUGGGCGCGCUGGCCCUGCGGCAGAUGUUUUGAUCCUGUCCUUCUUCAUUUCCGAAGAGCACGGCUUCCUGCUUCAUGAGAGCUUCCCCCGGCCUGCCGCCUCCCACAGUCUCCUGGGGAUGGAAGUGCCUUAUUACUACUUCACAAGAAAGCCCGAAGAAGCAGACAGAGAAGACGAGGUGGAGCCUGGGUGCCACCACAUCCCUCAGAUGGUGUCCAGGAGACCCCUGCGAGACUUUGUGGGGCUGGAGGACUGCGACAAGGCCACCCGGGACGCCAUGCUCCACUUCAGCUUCUUUGUCACCAUAGGAGACAUGGACGAAGCCUUCAAAUCCAUCAAGCUCAUCAAAAGGUGAGGAUCCCGACCACUGGGAUGUCGGGAGAUAGCGCGUGCUCACGGCUCUUUCCUUUCUCCGUUUGCCUUCUUGGUUCGCCUGUUGAAAUAUUUGACUCCUCAUGACUGCGUCAUGGUGUAUUUCAUGGUCUUCCCACUCGAUGAAAUGCUGCCCAGCUUGCAGGUGCCACGUGGGAAGCUCUCAGCCUCUGUGGUGCUGGGAGCCUCUCGGGCUGUUUAGCUGCUUCCUAGUGGAAAGUUCUGCCGUUCCUAAACAUCUAUAAUACCCAUCCCUCUGGGAAUAAUUGCUCCUAAACAGAAGUUUGGACAAGUAAACACUAAAAACAACCAGGCGGAAACACAAUUAAAAAUGCUCUAAAAGAGGGUGUCAAUCAA
This 824-nucleotide small RNA is filed under the name Pan troglodytes (chimpanzee). RNAcentral describes it as "retained intron". The record is from RNAcentral. Lineage: Eukaryota; Metazoa; Chordata; Mammalia; Primates; Hominidae.